CGAAGGCCUUCGGGUUGUAAAGCACUUUCAGGCGAUGGAGGAAAGGUUGGUAGCUAAUAACUUGCCAGCUGUGACGUUACUCGCAGAACGAAGCACCGGCUAAGCUCCGAUGCCAGCAGCCAGCGGAUAAGUACAGGAGAGGUAGCAAGCAGUUAAAUCGGAAUACUGGAGCGUAAGCGCACGCAGGCGGUGGAUAAGUAUGUGACC
This 207-nucleotide ribosomal RNA is filed under the name Aeromonas veronii. RNAcentral's name for it is "partial 16S ribosomal RNA". Lineage: Bacteria; Pseudomonadati; Pseudomonadota; Gammaproteobacteria; Aeromonadales; Aeromonadaceae. The record is from RNAcentral.